CUUUCCUGGAGGUCACCCAUCCUAGUACUACUCUCACCCAAGCACGCUUAACUGUAGAGUUCUGAUGGAAUCUGGUGCAUUAGUGCUGGUAUGAUCGCAUCCGUAACUACAUGCAAUGCAAUCGUAUCUAUUCUUUUUUGAAGACUUUAUGAUCGAUUUGCCGUGGGUCCCACCAGCUAUGUAGGAAUACCCUCUC
This 196-nucleotide small RNA is filed under the name Arabidopsis thaliana (thale cress). RNAcentral describes it as "ATSL166380". The record is from RNAcentral. Lineage: Eukaryota; Viridiplantae; Streptophyta; Magnoliopsida; Brassicales; Brassicaceae.